Molecule: ribosomal RNA, 253 nt
Filed under: uncultured bacterium
Lineage: Bacteria
Description: partial 16S ribosomal RNA
Rfam family: Bacterial small subunit ribosomal RNA
Source: RNAcentral
UACGGAGGGUGCAAGCGUUAUCCGGAUUCACUGGGUUUAAAGGGUGCGUAGGUGGGCAGGUAAGUCAGUGGUGAAAUCUCCGGGCUUAACCCGGAAAUGGCAUUGAAUACUAUUGAGCUGGAGGUUUGGAGGGGGGACUGGAAUUCUCGGUGUAGCAGUGAAAUGCGUAGAUAUCGAGAGGAACACCAGUGGCGAAGGCGAGUCCCUGGACAACACCUGACACUGAGGCACGAAAGCUAGGGGAGCAAACAGG